Molecule: non-coding RNA, 90 nt
Organism: Populus trichocarpa (black cottonwood)
Lineage: Eukaryota; Viridiplantae; Streptophyta; Magnoliopsida; Malpighiales; Salicaceae
Source: Rfam
CUUUUUAGGGUUAAACAUCAAUUUUUCGACGAGUCUCUUACUUUUAGAAACUAAUGACAUUUUUUAACAUGGCUCUUAUUUUUAAGGACU